AUUGAACGCUGGCGGCAUGCCUUACACAUGCAAGUCGAACGGCAGCACGGGUGCUUGCACCUGGUGGCGAGUGGCGAACGGGUGAGUAAUACAUCGGAACAUGUCCUGUAGUGGGGGAUAGCCCGGCGAAAGCCGGAUUAAUACCGCAUACGAUCUACGGAUGAAAGCGGGGGACCGUCGGGCCUCGCGCCAUAGGGUUGGCCGAUGGCUGAUUAGCUAGUUGGUGGAGUGAAGGCCUACCAAGGCGACGAUCAGUAGCUGGUCUGAGAGGACGACCAGCCACACUGGGACUGAGACACGGCCCAGACUCCUACGGGAGGCAGCAGUGGGGAAUUUUGGACAAUGGGCGAAAGCCUGAUCCAGCAAUGCCGCGUGUGUGAAGAAGGCCUUCGGGUUGUAAAGCACUUUUGUCCGGAAAGAAAUCCUUGGCCCUAAUACGGUCGGGGGAUGACGGUACCGGAAGAAUAAGCACCGGCUAACUACGUG
Molecule: ribosomal RNA, 486 nt
Filed under: uncultured bacterium
Lineage: Bacteria
Description: partial 16S ribosomal RNA
Rfam family: Bacterial small subunit ribosomal RNA
Source: RNAcentral